UAUUCGAUGCAACGCGAAAAACCUUACCUGGUCUUGACAUGUACGGAAUCCUUUAGAGAUAGAGGAGUGCCUUCGGGAACCGUAACACAGGUGCUGCAUGGCUGUCGUCAGCUCGUGUCGUGAGAUGUUGGGUUAAGUCCCGCAACGAGCGCAACCCUUGCCAUUAGUUGCUAACAUUUAGUUGAGCACUUUAAUGGGACUGCCGGUGACAAACCGGAGGAAGGUGGGGAUGACGUCAAGUCCUCAUGGCCCUUAUGACCAGGGCUUCACACGUCAUACAAUGGUCGGUACAGAGGGUCGCUAACCCGCGAGGGGGUGCCAAUCUCACAAAACCGAUCGUAGUCCGGAUUGCACUCUGCAACUCGAGUGCAUGAAGUCGGAAUCGCUAGUAAUCGCGGAUCAGCAUGUCGCGGUGAAUACGUUCCCGGGCC
Molecule: ribosomal RNA, 431 nt
Filed under: Deefgea chitinilytica
Lineage: Bacteria; Pseudomonadati; Pseudomonadota; Betaproteobacteria; Neisseriales; Chitinibacteraceae
Description: bacterial SSU rRNA
Rfam family: Bacterial small subunit ribosomal RNA
Source: RNAcentral